UUAAAAAGGUCAAGCUACAAAGGGCGCAUGGUGAAUGCCUUGGCAUCAGGAGCCGAUGAAGGACGUGAUAAGCUGCGAUAAGCUUCGGGUAGGCGCACAUAGCCAGAGAUCCGGAGAUUUCCGAAUGGGGAAACCCGCAUGAGAAACCUCAUGCAUCGUAAAGUGAAUACAUAGCUUUAUGAAGGAACACCUAGGGAACUGAAACAUCUAAGUACCUAGAGGAAGAGAAAGAAAAAUCGAUUUUCUUAGUAGCGGCGAGCGAAAAGGAAAGAGCCCAAACCAGAGAUUUAUCUCUGGGGUUGCGGACAGAACAUAACGUGAAAUUAUGAUUAACCGAACACAACUGGAAAGUUGGACCGUAGGAGGUAAUAGUCCUGUAAGUAAAAGUCAUAAUGAUCAGUUCUGCACCAGAGUACCACGAGACACGUGAAACCUUGUGGGAAGCAGGGAGGACCACCUCCCAAGGCUAAAUACUACCUGAUGACCGAUAGUGAAGCAGUACCGUGAGGGAAAGGUGAAAAGAACCCCGGGAGGGGAGUGAAAUAGAACCUGAAACCAUGUGCCUACAACCGAUCAAAGCACCUUAUGUGUGUGAUGAUGUGCUUUUUGUAGAACGAGCCAACGAGUUACGGUAUGUAGCGAGGUUAAGUACUUAAGGUACGGAGCCGAAGGGAAACCGAGUCUUAAUAGGGCGACUAGUUGCAUGCUGUAGACCCGAAACCGGGUGACCUAUCCAUGGCCAGGUUGAAGCGAGGGUAAAACCUCGUGGAGGACCGAACCACGUUGCUGUUGAAAAAGCAUGGGAUGAGCUGUGGAUAGCGGAGAAAUUCCAAUCGAACUCGGAUAUAGCUGGUUCUCCUCGAAAUAGCUUUAGGGCUAGCGUCGUGAAAUGUGAGUACUGGAGGUAGAGCACUGAAUAGGCUAGGGGGCAUAGCGCUUACCGAACCUUAUCAAACUCCGAAUGCCAGAUACUAUCAGCACGGCAGUCAGACUAUGAAAGAUAAGUUCCAUGGUCAAAAGGGAAACAGCCCAGAUCGUCAGCUAAGGUCCCAAAGUGUAAGUUAAGUGGAAAAGGAUGUGGGAUUUCUAAGACAACUAGGAUGUUGGCUUAGAAGCAGCCACUCAUUAAAAGAGUGCGUAAUAGCUCACUAGUCAAGAGAUCCUGCGCCGAAAAUGUCCGGGGCUCAAACUUACCACCGAAGCUACGGGUUCAUACUUUGUAUGAGCGGUAGAGGAGCGUCGUAAUCGGGCUGAAGUCGUACCGUAAGGAGCGGUGGACUGAUUACGAGUGAGAAUGUUGGCAUUAGUAGCGAGAUGUAGGUGAGAAUCCUACAGGCCGAAUAUCUAAGGUUUCCUGAGUAAAGUUUGUCUUCUCAGGGUUAGUCGGGACCUAAGGCGAGGCCGAGAGGCGUAGUCGAUGGACAAUUGGUUGAUAUUCCAAUACCACUAUAAUCGUUAUUAUCGAUGGUGUGACGGAGAAGGAUAGGAUGUGCCAGCUAUUGGAUGCUGGUCUAAGCGUUGAGGGAGUUAGAACAGGCAAAUCCGUUCUAACAAUCCUAGGGCGUGAUGGGGAAGGUUCCACGGAACCGAAGUAUCUGAUUUCAUGCUUCCAAGAAAAGCAUCUAGAAAGAGAAGUAGUGCCCGUACCGCAAACCGACACAGGUAGAUGAGGAGAGAAUCCUAAGGCCGACGGAAGAAUCACAGUUAAGGAACUAGGCAAAUUGACCCCGUAACUUCGGGAGAAGGGGUGCCUACCAUUUGGUAGGCCGCAGAGAAUAGGCACAAGCAACUGUUUAACAAAAACACAGGUCUCUGCUAAAGCGUAAGCUGAUGUAUAGGGGCUGACGCCUGCCCGGUGCUGGAAGGUUAAGGGGAACACUUAGCGCAAGCGAAGGUGUGAACUUAAGCCCCAGUAAACGGCGGCCGUAACUAUAACGGUCCUAAGGUAGCGAAAUUCCUUGUCAGGUAAGUUCUGACCCGCACGAAUGGCGUAAUGACUUGUGCACUGUCUCAACUGUGAAUCCGGCGAAGUUGUAGUGCGAGUGAAGAUGCUCGCUACCCGCGAUUGGACGGAAAGACCCCGUAGAGCUUUACUGUAGCUUAGCAUUGAAUUUCGGUAUUGUCUGUACAGGAUAGGUGGGAGACUGGGAAAUUAGGGCGUCAGCCUUAAUGGAGUCGUUGUUGGGAUACCACCCUGAUAGUAUUGAAGUUCUAACUGGAUGCCAUGAAACUGGUGACAGGACAUUGUUAGGUGGGCAGUUUGACUGGGGCGGUCGCCUCCUAAAAUGUAACGGAGGCGCCCAAAGGUUCCCUCAGAAC
This 2319-nucleotide ribosomal RNA is filed under the name Clostridium butyricum. Its description in RNAcentral is "bacterial LSU rRNA". It matches the Rfam family "Bacterial large subunit ribosomal RNA", at positions 1 to 2328 of the family's 2925-position model. The record is from RNAcentral. Lineage: Bacteria; Bacillati; Bacillota; Clostridia; Eubacteriales; Clostridiaceae.